Molecule: non-coding RNA, 94 nt
Organism: Acanthosepion pharaonis
Lineage: Eukaryota; Metazoa; Mollusca; Cephalopoda; Sepiida; Sepiidae
Source: the annotation of a GenBank genome assembly
AAACACCGGUCCCCAUACGAUCACUGAAGUUAAGCAGCGUCGAUUCUGUACUGUACCUAGAUGACUGACCAAAUGGGAACACCAGGUGCUGUAA